Molecule: ribosomal RNA, 99 nt
Filed under: uncultured Methylobacterium sp.
Lineage: Bacteria; Pseudomonadati; Pseudomonadota; Alphaproteobacteria; Hyphomicrobiales; Methylobacteriaceae
Description: partial 16S ribosomal RNA
Rfam family: Bacterial small subunit ribosomal RNA
Source: RNAcentral
GCGAANGCGGCCAACUGGACCAAUACUGACGCUGANGCUCNAAAGCGUGGGGAGCAAACAGGAUUANAUACCCUGGUAGUCCACGCUGUAAACGAUGAA